CCAGAGGUGGCUGUCAGCUUGCUGCAGGACAAUUAUUUGCUUUCCAUUCCGUUCUGCUUUCUGGAUGUGUUGAAGAGUAAAGAGCUUGAUAAAGUCCUGGCUGCCCUCCUUCUAUACCUGUCCUGCUUUUUUGAACACAAAUCUCUGGAGAAUAAAGUUGCAUCUUUAGUUGUUGUGGACAUCAUCACCGAGCGGCAGAUGCUGAUGGAGACUGCGGCCAAGAAGGAGAUAGCCCUGAAAGAGCUGGCCGUCAGCUACUUCAGCCUAAUGAUGGACCUGGAGAGCGAGCAGCACCUUCCACAUAACAAGUGA
This is a long non-coding RNA of Salarias fasciatus (jewelled blenny), 312 nucleotides long. RefSeq lists it as uncharacterized. NCBI's taxonomy places the organism in Eukaryota, Metazoa, Chordata, Actinopteri, Blenniiformes, Blenniidae. The record is from RefSeq and is a predicted model, not a curated record. The transcript has 3 exons.